This 71-nucleotide transfer RNA is filed under the name Marmota monax (woodchuck). RNAcentral's name for it is "tRNA.Met". The record is from RNAcentral. Lineage: Eukaryota; Metazoa; Chordata; Mammalia; Rodentia; Sciuridae.
GAGGUUGUGGCUCAGUGGUAGAGUGCUUGCCUCAUGUAUAUGAGGCACUGGGUUUGAUUCUCAGCACCACA